AAACCUCACCUGGCCCGGACUUGGACAGGAUUGACAGACUGAUAGCUCUUUCUUGAAUCCAUGGAAGGUGGUGCAUGGCCGUUCUUAGUUGGUGAAACCAUUUGCCUGGUUAUACUGCUAGUGGGACUAUAAAAUGUUGCAGGUACUUUGGAAAAUAGUUUGGUGGUUUCUCACAAAAGCCAAACAUAGAAUCUCCAUGUUGUUGUUGUUAGGUGCAGUCGAGGCAGUUCCGACACAUAGCAACCCUAUGCACAACAGAACGAAACACUGCCCAGU
RNAcentral lists this non-coding RNA (276 nucleotides) under Loxodonta africana (African savanna elephant). RNAcentral's name for it is "Eukaryotic small subunit ribosomal RNA". It matches the Rfam family "Eukaryotic small subunit ribosomal RNA", at positions 1210 to 1393 of the family's 1831-position model. The record is from Rfam by way of RNAcentral. Lineage: Eukaryota; Metazoa; Chordata; Mammalia; Proboscidea; Elephantidae.